UCCSCSGGGCWUUGCCUCAGUAGCGGCGAGUGAAGCGGCAAAAGCUCAAAUUUGAAAUCUGGCGUCUUUGGCGUCCGAGUUGUAAUUUGAAGAAGGUAUCUUUGGGCCCGGCUCUUGUCUAUGUUCCUUGGAACAGGACGUCACAGAGGGUGAGAAUCCCGUGCGAUGAGAUGACCCGGGUCUGUGUAAAGUUCCUUCGACGAGUCGAGUUGUUUGGGAAUGCAGCUCUAAGUGGGUGGUAAAUUCCAUCUAAAGCUAAAUAUUGGCGAGAGACCGAUAGCGAACAAGUACAGUGAUGGAAAGAUGAAAAGAACUUUGAAAAGAGAGUGAAAAAGUACGUGAAAUUGUUGAAAGGGAAGGGCUUGAGAUCAGACUUGGUAUUUUGCAUGCUGCUCUCUCGGGGGCGGCCGCUGCGGUUUACCGGGCCAGCAUCGGUUUGGAGCGGCAGGAUAAUGGCGGAGGAAUGUGGCACGGCUUCUGCUGUGUGUUAUAGCCUCUGACGAUACUGCCAGCCUAGACCGAGGACUGCGGUUUUUACCUAGGAUGUUGGCAUAAUGAUCUUAAGUCGCCCGUCUUGAAACACGGACCA
RNAcentral lists this ribosomal RNA (589 nucleotides) under Candida albicans. Its description in RNAcentral is "LSU rRNA". It matches the Rfam family "Eukaryotic large subunit ribosomal RNA", at positions 64 to 668 of the family's 3401-position model. The record is from RNAcentral. Lineage: Eukaryota; Fungi; Ascomycota; Pichiomycetes; Serinales; Debaryomycetaceae.